AACUAAUCACGAUGGAUAUCUUGGCUCUUGAAACGAUGAAGAACGCAGCGAAAUGCGAUAGGUAAUGCGAAUUGCAGAACUCUGUGAGUCAUCAAAUCUUUGAACGCACAUUGCACUUCCUUUGGGAGUAUACUUGUUUGAGUAUUG
Molecule: ribosomal RNA, 147 nt
Organism: Blastocystis sp.
Lineage: Eukaryota; Bigyra; Opalinata; Blastocystidae
Rfam family: 5.8S ribosomal RNA
About the family: 5.8S ribosomal RNA (5.8S rRNA) is a component of the large subunit of the eukaryotic ribosome.
Source: Rfam